RNAcentral lists this unclassified non-coding RNA (240 nucleotides) under soil metagenome. RNAcentral describes it as "partial contains 5.8S ribosomal RNA, internal transcribed spacer 2, and large subunit ribosomal RNA". The record is from RNAcentral.
AACUGAUACUACCUGCGGGAACCUGCGGAGGGAUCAUUAUCGAAAGUUUCUUGAUGGGUUGUCGCUGGCCACUCGUGGCAUGUGCACGCCUGUCCUGACUCUAUCCAUCCACCUGUGCACCCAUUGUAGUCUUCUUCUUCGAGGGAUCGAGCCUCGAGCCCAUCUGCUUGGGCUGUCGGGAACCACUCUCGAACGAAGGAGGGCUAUGUCUUUGACAUCACACUCUGUAGUAUGUUGACC